RNAcentral lists this long non-coding RNA (282 nucleotides) under Eucalyptus grandis. RNAcentral's name for it is "long non-coding RNA (EGRA_LNC003670)". The record is from RNAcentral. Lineage: Eukaryota; Viridiplantae; Streptophyta; Magnoliopsida; Myrtales; Myrtaceae.
GAAGGGCGAUAAAGCUGUAAGUCUCAUUCCUAACUCACCUGUGCUGGCGGAUGAUGGACACCCACUUACUAUACUGACUUGUCCUAUUGACCAGGCUUGAAAAUCGUCGGCAGCAAAUCAAGAACCGCUUUUACAAAUAUUAAGAUGCGAACGAGCGGUAGCUGUUCUGAUGUGGUCGCACGCACUCUUUUGGACGACUCGCAUCGGACGUGGUUGCCAACUACUACAUCGGCAGCUCAGCUUUUCCGAAGAAUGUCGUCACGCCAUAGAAAAAUUCACCCC